This is a non-coding RNA of Myotis davidii, 75 nucleotides long. The record is from Rfam. Lineage: Eukaryota; Metazoa; Chordata; Mammalia; Chiroptera; Vespertilionidae.
GGCAGUGCUCGAGUCACACACCUCGGAAUCGGGCUCCUUCUUCUCUGGUUCCAGGUGCAUUACCAGAGAACCACA